AAUGAACGCUGGCGGCGUGCUUAACACAUGCAAGUCGCACGAGAACGCUUCAGCUUGCUGAGGCAAGUAAAGUGGCGCACGGGUGAGUAACGCGUGGGUAAUCUACCUUUGAAUCGGGGAUAACUCGCCGAAAGGCGUGCUAAUACCGGAUAAUAUCUAAAAGACUUCAGUUUUUUAGAUCAAAAGUGGCCUCUACAUGUAAGCUACUGUUUGAGGAUGAGCCCGCGUACCAUUAGCUUGUUGGUAGGGUAAUGGCCUACCAAGGCGACGAUGGUUAGCUGGUCUGAGAGGAUGAUCAGCCACACUGGAACUGACACACGGUCCAGACUCCUACGGGAGGCAGCAGUGAGGAAUUUUGCGCAAUGGGGGAAACCCUGACGCAGCAACGCCGCGUGAGUGAUGAAGGCCUUCGGGUCGUAAAGCUCUGUCAAGUGGGAAGAAACCACGCGAUGCUAAUAUCAUCGCGUACUGACGGUACCACUGAAGGAAGCACCGGCUAACUCCGUGCCAGCAGCCGCGGUAAUACGGGGGGUGCGAGCGUUAUUCGGAAUUACCGGGCGUAAAGAGCGCGUAGGCGGUCCUUUAAGUCAGGUGUGAAAGCCCGGGGCUUAACCCCGGAAGUGCACUUGAAACUA
RNAcentral lists this ribosomal RNA (635 nucleotides) under uncultured bacterium. RNAcentral describes it as "bacterial SSU rRNA". It matches the Rfam family "Bacterial small subunit ribosomal RNA", at positions 28 to 635 of the family's 1533-position model. The record is from RNAcentral.